GAGUCUCACUCUGUCACCCAGGCUGAAGUGCAAUGGCAUGGUCUCGGCUCACUGCAACCUCCGCCUCCCAGGUUCAAGUGAUUCUCUUGCCUCAGCCUCCCAAGUAGCUGGGCCUAUAGGUUCCCUCCACCACGCCCACCUAAUUUUUGUAUUUUUAGUAGAGAUGGGCUUUCACUACGUUAGCCAGGCUGGUCUCAAACUUGUGACCUCAUGAUCCACCCCCCUCAGCCUCCUAAAGUGCUGGGAUUACAGGCAUCUGCCACGGCACUCGGCUUAUCCCUAGAAAUCCUAUGAUAGCAUGAUGUAUAGGCACCUAAAGGCAUGGCACUUGAGAAAUGUGAAUAAGAUUGUAAGUUACAAAUAGCAAGGUACAGUCAGAUGUUAACAGUCUCAGCCCCUAAAUGUCACCUUGUAUUACAGCAUGUUAUAUAAGCACAUACAGGCACAUACAUGAAAUAGUGAUACUUCAUUCUCAGUAAUAUUUUUCAUCCUUCUCACUGGAAAGAUCUUUGAUGAUUUUUAAUCAACAUAGGAGUUUCAAUGAUAUCUAGAAGUUUAAAAGGGCUCGUUCAAACAAAUUAUGACCAUACACCCUGAAGAGUAUGUGUCUGUCUCUUGUGGUGUAAAUUUUUAUUUUAUUACACCCAAUUAUGUUCCCACAAAACCUUUAUAAUUGGGAAAUUAAGGAGCCUUCCUCGGAAAUGGAGGUUGCAAUCAGCUGAGAUGGUACCACUGCACUCUAGCCUGGGCAAAAGAGCAAGGCCCUGCCUCAAAAAAAACAAAACUUUUUUCUUCAUAAACUACAGUUUAUAUAGGCAAAACUUUCAGUACUAAGCAAUUUUAGUCUCUGCAGGCUCUUGUCUUGAAUUAAUACAACUUUUGUUAAUUCUCUUAUGAAGUUAAAUCUUCCUGCUUGUAUGCAACUUAUAUGUUGAAAUUUUUUUGUACAAAAGAUUCAUACAUCUUUCCUGUUUGAAAUUAUUUUACCGUGCUUCAUCAAUCUAAUGUUUGUUAUUUUUAUUACACCAGUAAUUUCCUCAUUGUGUUGAAUCUGAAAGUGGCAUAGAAAUUGAUACGUACCUAGAAAUGUUUAGCCAGUCGGUGUGUAUUUGAUGUAGCAAUUUUUUCCUUUGAAUCACAUACUCUAAGAGAAGUAACUUCCUCUUGCUAACCUCUACUUUGCCUAAGUGAUGAAUUAAUCCUCUUUAGAUGAUUAUAGUUAUCUUUUCAACACUUAGCAAGAAAGAAUCUAUAAAGAAGAACUAUAAAUCUGUAAAGAAGAACUUUCCCAGCCGGGCGCAGUGGCUUUGGUUCAGUGCUUCUCAGCCUUUUGGCUAAGAUCAAGUGUGAGACGCAGUUUCACUCUUACUGCCCAGGCUGGAGUGCAAUGGUGAAAUCUUGGCUUACUGCAACCUCCGCCUCCCAGGUUCCAAUGAUUCUCCUGCCUCAACCUCCAGAGUAGCUGGGAUUACAGGCACCCGCCACCACACCUGGCUACUUUUUUAUAUUUUUAGUAGUGACAGGGUUUCACCCUGUUGGUCAGGCUGGACUUGAACUCCUGACCUCAGGUGAUCCACAUGCCUCGGCCUCCCAAAGUGCUGGGAUUAUAGGCAUGAGCCACUGCACCCAGCCCCCAGCAUCAUUUUCUUCAGAGAACAUUCGAGGAUUCUUCAUGAUGGCUGGGCUUUUUUUUUUUUUUUUUUUUUUGAGACGGAGUUUCACUCUUGUUGCCCAGGCUGGAGUGCAAUGGCACAAUCUUGGCUCACCACAACUUCUGCCCCCUGAGUUCAAGCAGUUCUGCCUCAGCCUCCCGAGUAGCUAGGAUUAUAGGCAUGCACAAUCACACCUGGCUAAUUUUGUAUUUUUAGUAGAGACGAGGUUUCUCCAUGUUGAUCAAGCUAGUCAGGAACGCUCGACCUCAGGUGAUCCGCCCGCCUUGGCCUCCCAAAGUGCUGGGAUUACAGGCGUGGGCCACCACUCCCGGCGAUGCCUGGGCUUUCAUUGGGUAUUAAGUCUACAAACAGCACCUUCAAUUUAAACUGUCAAUUACAGUUCUUAAGAUUUAGGAAGUGAUGGAGCUUGGAAAGUUACGAGAUUACAAAAUCCGUGAAAGUCCAUUAGAAAAACCACAAGAUGGAAAAAAGUAUAAACCAGGCCACAAAGAAGCUUCAGAGGUCCCUGCUGUCCCAGGGACAGAUACCUGCAGUGUCCAGCAUCUCAGUGAACAUGACCUGCUUUCAAAGGCAGGGGCUUAAAGCGAGGGUGGCAUGGGACCGGUGGAGGCAAAGUGUUGGGGUGAUCAGACCCAACACCUGGUCACUGGGGCUAUGAAGUCUGGCAGAGUCAAAGGAAUGAGACAAGACAAGAGUACAUAGGGUGGGUCUCAGGGGCCAACGCCAGUAUGGAGGCUGCAAAGGCCCUGAGCUCUAGGAGCCCACACUAUUUAUUGGUAAUCAAACAAAGAAGCAGGUGGAGAGGACGUGCGGAUGUGGGGGCAGACAGGUGAGGAUGUGGGGGUAGAAAGCGGUGCAUCAAGCGUAGCUGUGAUGGCUUAGCAUAUGCUCUGCUACUUGAGAUAAGGGAGAAUAGGUUCUUCUAAUUCAAGAUACAAUCAAUUUAUGAUCUUGGGAGAACAAAGUGCAAGGGGCCAGUGAGUCUGGACACACUCCAAAGGCUACAGAGGGUUUUAUGCCCUGAGCCCUGGGUUCUCUCCAAGCCACAAGGGGUUUCAUACCCUGGGUUUAGAUUGUACUGCGGCAGGGCAGCCUUCCACCCUUUGGCACAGAGUUUGGUGUUCCAAAGGUCAUGAGGGGUUUUAGACCCUGGACCCAGGACAUGUUCCAAGACUCUUUUACAUUAUGUCAGAAAAACGAGCCCUGCCUCAGCUCUUCUGCCAACAUGUCUCCCUUUUUUGUCCUGCAAAACCGCCACAGCUAUCAUUGCUUGUUCUUGGCAGCGGCUUUCUCUCCAGAAGCGGCUUCCGCAUCUGUAGAUUAAAAGGAGACAGCACAAGCACAUAAUUAUUAGAACAAAAUUUACAAGUGUAGAGUUUCCAGUGGUCUUAAUCCAUUUAAGAGAAUUGAUUGCAGACAACCCAUUGGCUGCCUCGCUGAAAAUAUCAGUUCCAGGGAGCAGGGUUAAGUGAGCCUGAGAGGCUUCAAAAACCUGCUCUUUUACUUUUACAAUAUCAAGGGUGAGAUUUUCCUCUCUGCCCACUAGAUGGCAUUUAAUUUCCCAUUGGUGUUCUGUUUCAUUCUAACUAUGAGGAGUAACGCAAAAAUCGGAUGUAUUCCAGUCACAUUGCAUUUGAAUUCUAGUUUCUAAACUUAUGAUGCAAUCCCCCAUCCAAAUUACUGUCUGAGGGAGAUCAUUAAUUUGACUAACUAUAUUUUGAUCUGUUUGGGCCUGAGAGCUCCAUAAUUUCAUAGAAUUCUUUUUCCAUUUAUCAACAAAUUUGACAGUUUGCACAGAUGAGUGUAAAGCCACACUAGCUACUGCAGCAGUGGUGGUAACUGCAGUGAGGCCAAUUAUAGCAAAUAUAAGAGCAACUAUAAAUCUUUUUGAACGGGAUAAGAGUUUUGUAAGGAUCUCAGUUAUAAUGUGAAUGGACGGUGAUGCCUCCCAUGGUCUAUUUAGAGACACAGGGAUCCAAACUCCUUCUCUGGCUCUAAUUAACAAGAUAGUUUGAUUUUUAUCAAGAUGUCGUUAAUGCAAGUAAACAAGUGACAUUCCUGGCAGGUGAUAAAACGGGUAUUUAUGUAAAGAGUAAUAUUUCCGGCCUGGCGGGGUGGCUCACACCUGUAGUCCCAGCACUUUGGAAGGC
Molecule: long non-coding RNA, 3823 nt
Filed under: Homo sapiens (human)
Lineage: Eukaryota; Metazoa; Chordata; Mammalia; Primates; Hominidae
Description: LHRI_LNC408.1
Source: RNAcentral